This 216-nucleotide long non-coding RNA is filed under the name Panax ginseng (ginseng). RNAcentral describes it as "long non-coding RNA (PGIN_LNC012098)". The record is from RNAcentral. Lineage: Eukaryota; Viridiplantae; Streptophyta; Magnoliopsida; Apiales; Araliaceae.
UUAUUUGCUCCUGGCUGUUGUAGUUCCUGACCUUCUUUGGCUUGCUGGUUUUGCCUUGACGCAUGAAUCUUCUCAGUCUUUUUACCAUCAUAGCAAGGUCUUCAUUAUCGUCUUCAUCAUAAUCAGAGUCAAUCUCAGUGUUGACCUUUGAUGCACUUUCAGUUGCCUUGAGAGCAACACCCUUAUCCUUCCUUCUUCCUUCUGAUUGGGUUUCAG